GUGAACGCUGGCGGUAGGCCUAACACAUGCCAGUCGAACGGCAGCACAGUAAGAGCUUGCUCUUACGGGUGGCGAGUGGCGGACGGGUGAGGAAUACAUCGGAAUCUACUUUUUCGUGGGGGAUAACGUAGGGAAACUUACGCUAAUACCGCAUACGACCUACGGGUGAAAGCAGGGGAUCUUCGGACCUUGCGCGAUUGAAUGAGCCGAUGUCGGAUUAGCUAGUUGGCGGGGUAAAGGCCCACCAAGGCGACGAUCCGUAGCUGGUCUGAGAGGAUGAUCAGCCACACUGGAACUGAGACACGGUCCAGACUCCUACGGGAGGCAGCAGUGGGGAAUAUUGGACAAUGGGCGCAAGCCUGAUCCAGCCAUACCGCGUGGGUGAAGAAGGCCUUCGGGUUGUAAAGCCCUUUUGUUGGGAAAGAAAAGCAGCAGGCUAAUACCCCGCUGUUCUGACGGUACCCAAAGAAUAAGCACCGGCUAACUUCGUG
RNAcentral lists this ribosomal RNA (491 nucleotides) under uncultured bacterium. Its description in RNAcentral is "partial 16S ribosomal RNA". It matches the Rfam family "Bacterial small subunit ribosomal RNA", at positions 29 to 507 of the family's 1533-position model. The record is from RNAcentral.